GAUAAGAUGGCUGAAGUUUAGGCGAUAAAUUGUAAAUUUAUUUAUGGUUAAUAUUAAUCUCUUAUCA
Molecule: transfer RNA, 67 nt
Filed under: Eucorysses grandis
Lineage: Eukaryota; Metazoa; Arthropoda; Insecta; Hemiptera; Scutelleridae
Description: tRNA-Tyr
Rfam family: tRNA
About the family: Transfer RNA (tRNA) molecules are approximately 80 nucleotides in length. Their secondary structure includes four short double-helical elements and three loops (D, anti-codon, and T loops).
Source: RNAcentral